RNAcentral lists this ribosomal RNA (253 nucleotides) under uncultured bacterium. RNAcentral's name for it is "partial 16S ribosomal RNA". It matches the Rfam family "Bacterial small subunit ribosomal RNA", at positions 524 to 776 of the family's 1533-position model. The record is from RNAcentral.
GACGAAGGUGGCGAGCGUUGUUCGGAAUCACUGGGCAUAAAGCGCACGUAGGCGGUGCCGUAAGUCAGAUGUGAAAUCCCUCGGCCUAACCGAGGAACUGCGUCUGAUACUGCGGUGCUUGAGGAUCAGAGGGGUGCAUGGAAUUUCCGGUAGAGCGGUGAAAUGCGUUGAUAUCGGAAGGAACUCCGGCGGCGAAAGCGAUGCACUGGCUGAUUUCUGACGCUGAGGUGCGAAAGCCAGGGGAGCAAACGGG